Molecule: long non-coding RNA, 2700 nt
Filed under: Citrus x clementina
Lineage: Eukaryota; Viridiplantae; Streptophyta; Magnoliopsida; Sapindales; Rutaceae
Description: Citrus clementina (C. clementina) long non-coding RNA (CCLE_LNC004474)
Source: RNAcentral
CCCAAAAUUUAAAUUUAAGUAAUAAGUUAAAUAACGAUUUGAAAAUCACUCGGUCAUGAGACAACAUCACAACUUAUACUUGAUGUUAGACUAUUCUCGCAUAAAUAAAUUAAAAGAAAAUUUGACUUAAGCUGAAGUAAUAAUAGUGAUAAUGCUUAUCCCCAAAAAAGUAAAAAAGUAACAAACCAGUGACAUGAUAUGCCCAUCUGCUCUUGGACUCAGGUUAGAGAAUUUGGGCUCAAGAGGCAACAAUUAAAUAAUUGGUGUUAUUUGCACACCUCCAACAUCCUUUUUAAACCCCUCGUAGUCUUGUUUACAAUUUUAACCCUAACUAAAAAUUUCCCCUUGACACCCACACCCACAUCCAAAUACAACGCAAAUGAAGACUGCUUGCGGAGCUGCUGUAAACAUUUAAAAAAUGAUUUUCUUGGAUGGAAAUAAUUUAAAGAUGAAAACAAUUUCAUAUGGCUUGUUGUAAAUCUUUUAAUACUCCCAUGAUUCGACCUAUGGAGUUAGCUUUAUUCAACUAAUUAUACUUUAGAUUCUUCAUUUUUUGAGUUCGAAACUAUGAGAAGUUGAACAAAAAUAUACAAAUUAUGAUCAAAAUAAGGAUUUUUCUAUGAUGGUGUAUGAGUUUUUACAAUAUUGAUAAUGAGAUUGUUAUGGACUCUUAGAUUUAAGUGCUUUAAUCCCUACCAUUCAUUUAAUAUAGUGGAUAAAAAUUAAUUAAUUAAAGAAUAACAGGUAAACUUCAGUUUGUAAGUAAAUGUAGAUUUUUUAUUUUUAAUUAAUUAACAACUGAAAAAUUCUAUUAUGUUGGAAUAAAAAUCCCACAAUUAAAAAUGGGAUCAUUGGAUUUAAAUAUUAGAAUCUUCACCCUUAUUUUAAUUUUAAUAGAUAAGUAAUUUUGUAACUAGUAAUUUACAAGUUGUAGUAUUUCUUCACACUUUAAAUUAUUUUUAAUCUAAUCAAUUCAUAAAUAUUUUUUAAGUCACCAAAAAAAAUACAAAUAAUUUUGGAAUUAAAAUUAUUGUGUACUGUCUAUAACUUUACAAUUUUACAAGUAAUGUUAUUUUAAUAGUACUUUAUAUAAAGAUAUUUUACAAGGUGUUAAUAAUAAUUUAUUGUAUUAAUUUAAUUAUAAACUAUUAAAUAAACAAUAAUGAUCAUAGAAGGAGAAUUAGAAAUAGGUUUUGUUGCUAGCAAAGAUCAAAUUACAGAUGUGUUAACCAAGCCUUUACCCUUUUAUAAAUUCAGUCAGUUCAGAAGCAAACUCAGAGUCUUUGACAAGACCUUGAGUUUGAGAGAGGGUGUUGAAAAUAGCAGUUGUCAAGAGUCAACAGCUGACCCUCAAAGCCACGUUAGCAUGCCACCUAAGUCAUUGUCAACUGGAGCCAACUGAUCUAAUAGUGAGCUGGAUUUGAUGUGCUUUCAAAAUAGUUAUACUGAAGAAUCUCAGCACCUGUGCAUGAAGGAUUGGAAUUUCUAGAAGCUUGAUAAUGAUUGGAUGAUGAUUGCUAUUGUAACUAAAAUUUUCUUAUAUUUCCUUAGUUACCCUUUUAGUUAGCUGUCGUUUUUCCUCUUGGUUUUUGUAUAAAUAGGCAGCACUCUCUAGCUAUCAAUUCAUUCAAGUUUUCAUCCAUUCAUUAUUUUCUGGUUUAUGCUCUGUUUGCUCUGUAAACAAUUCCUUGAGAAUUUAAGUCUUAAAGGUCAGUGAAUCAUAUCCAUUAGAUUGAACUAUGCAUAGCCAUGAUUUAUUCUUGAUUAUAAUAUUUUGAAAAGAUGAAAUGAACUUGUGGUUGACUGACUUAUUAAUUUCUAGUCUUAAAAUUGGAGUGCACGUAAAUGAAAAUGGUCUCUUUACUCUGUUUGCGAGAAUCAUAUUAUUUUUUAUUCCAUAUACCAAUUCAUCUCAGAACAUUAAGAUCAAAUUAUAUAUAAUUUAAUUUAAUUAAUAAUUAUUUCCUCAGUAUCAUUUUUAUCGUAUAGUAAUUAGUUAAAAUGCAGAAUGUCGUUAUGAACUGCUUAAUCAUCUCAUGCAACUAUAGACAAUUAUUUAACAAUCAGUGAGUAAUGAUUCAUGAUAUAUUAUUUGGAAUUCAAACCAUUUAUGAACUAUACAAGUGUAUAAAUCCUUAUUAAGGAUUAUUUUAACUUAAAUAUUUUACAUAUACUUUGUGACAUUGAUUUCAUGGAAUCAAAUUAUAGAUGAUUUCAUAUAAUUUAACUUUUGAUGGUUUAACAUAAUUAAAUGUUACUUUUUAUUUGGAUUAACGACAUAAAAAUACAAAAUUUUUAGUAAAGAAGACAACUAAUAAAAAACUAAAUAUAUAAUAAAUUAGUUAUUGGUAUUCAUUCAUAAUUACCAUAAACAAAUCUAAAUAAUUUAAAUUAUACAUUAUUACAUACGAGAUAGUGCAUAUGAAAUACAUUAUUGCCUAUUAAAGAAAAUCAAGAUUGGCUUUAGCUAGAGUUUGCAGGGCUUUAGGUAAUUUUUUUUUUUAAAGGAGACCUCCUUAUAUUCAAAACCUUUAACACUUAAAGAAAAUAGAAAAGAGAUUAAAAUUCAUCGAUAUUUAAUUAUAUUUUGAAUUUCUACAAAAAUCAAGAACAUCCUAAACAAUUUUAAAAAAUCCUUAAAAAAGUAAUCAAGAAGAUAUUUGAUGAGAACUUUUAUAAAUUAAAUAAAUAAGAACAAUA